GACGAACGCUGGCGGCGUGCUUAACACGUGCAAGUCGAGCGGAAAGGCCACUUCGGUGGUACUCGAGCGGCGAACGGGUGAGUAACACGUGAGUAAUCUGCCCCUGGCUUUGGGAUAGCCACCGGAAACGGUGAUUAAUACCGGAUACGACCACUUCUCGCAUGGGAUGGUGGUGGAAAGUUUUUUCGGCCAGGGAUGUGCUCGCGGCCUAUCAGCUUGAUGGUGAGGUAAUGGCUCACCAUGGCUUCGACGGGUAGCCGGCCGGAGAGGGUGACCGGUCACAGUGGGGCUGAGACACGGCCCAGACGCCAACGGGAGGCAGCGGUGGGGAAUAUUGGACAAUGGGCGGAAGCCUGAUCCAGCAACGCCGCGUGAGGGAUGACGGCCUUCGGGUUGUAAACCUCUUUCAGCAGGGACGAAGCGCAAGUGACGGUACCUGCAGAAGAAGCACCGGCCAACUACGUGCCAGCAGCCGCCGUAA
This 481-nucleotide ribosomal RNA is filed under the name uncultured bacterium. RNAcentral's name for it is "partial 16S ribosomal RNA". It matches the Rfam family "Bacterial small subunit ribosomal RNA", at positions 28 to 523 of the family's 1533-position model. The record is from RNAcentral.